Molecule: ribosomal RNA, 369 nt
Filed under: uncultured bacterium
Lineage: Bacteria
Description: bacterial SSU rRNA
Rfam family: Bacterial small subunit ribosomal RNA
Source: RNAcentral
GGGCCCGCACAAGCGGUGGAGUAUGUGGUUUAAUUCGAUGCAACGCGAAGAACCUUACCAGGGCUUGACAUCCUGCGAAUCUCUGGGAAACCGGAGAGUGCCUUCGGGAACGCAGUGACAGGUGGUGCAUGGCUGUCGUCAGCUCGUGUCGUGAGAUGUUGGGUUAAGUCCCGCAACGAGCGCAACCCACGUCUUUAGUUGCCAGCAUUUAGUUGGGCACUCUAGAGAGACCGCCGGUGACAAACCGGAGGAAGUGUGGAUGACGUCAAGUCAUCAUGCCCCUUACGUCCUGGGCUACACACGUGCUACAAUGGCCGGUACAAAGGGCAGCGAAGCCGCAAGGUGGAGCGAAUCUCACAAAACGGUCGU